RNAcentral lists this ribosomal RNA (700 nucleotides) under uncultured Pseudomonadota bacterium. Its description in RNAcentral is "bacterial SSU rRNA". It matches the Rfam family "Bacterial small subunit ribosomal RNA", at positions 56 to 780 of the family's 1533-position model. Lineage: Bacteria; Pseudomonadati; Pseudomonadota. The record is from RNAcentral.
UGCAGUCGAACGCAGUCGACCUUCGGGUCAUAUGACUGAGUGGCGGACGGGUGAGUAACACGUAGGUUACCUGCCCUCUGGUGGGGGACAACCCAGGGAAACUUGGGCUAAUACCGCAUAUGGUCUACGGAUCAAAGUCUUCGGACGCCAGAGGAUGGACCUGCGUCCCAUUAUUUAAUCCUAGUUGGUGAGGUAACGGCUCACCAAGGGUACGAUGGGUAGCUGGUUUGAGAGGAUGAUCAGCCACACUGGGACUGAGACACGGCCCAGACUCCUACGGGAGGCAGCAGUGGGGAAUAUUGCGCAAUGGGCGAAAGCCUGACGCAGCUACGCCGCGUGAGUGAUGACGGCCUUCGGGUUGUAAAGCUCUGUCGGGAGGGAAGAAUAAAUGACGGUACCUCCCAAGAAAGCGCCGGCUAACUCCGUGCCAGCAGCCGCGGUAAUACGGAGGGCGCAAGCGUUGCUCGGAAUCACUGGGCGUAAAGCGAACGCAGGCGGCGCAACAAGUCGGAUGUGAAAGCCCGGGGCUCAACCCCGGAACUGCAUUCGAAACUGUUGUGCUUGAAUACGGGAGAGGGGAGUAGAAUUCCUGGUGUAGAGGUGAAAUUCGUAGAUAUCAGGAAGAAUACCAGUGGCGAAAGCGGCUCCCUGGCCCGAUAUUGACGCUCAUGUUCGAAAGCGUGGGUAGCAAACAGGAUUA